GCCUUCGUGGUUUAGCUGGAAACACGUUCGGCUAGCAAUCGGAAGGUCCAGAGUUCAAAUCUCGGCGAAGGCA
Molecule: non-coding RNA, 73 nt
Organism: Stegodyphus dumicola
Lineage: Eukaryota; Metazoa; Arthropoda; Arachnida; Araneae; Eresidae
Source: the annotation of a RefSeq genome assembly